AUGUGAUUGGCUGCUAUCACCUUGUAAUAAUAAUAAUAAAAUAUUAUUAUCGAUUUUUUCAUUUACAUUUAUGUGAACUUUAAGAUAAUAUCUCUUUUCUUUUUUUUUUCUUUUUUUUUGUUUGGAUUUUGUUUUAGUUUUUCCUAAAUAGGUUCUAAAAUUACAUUAUAAAGUCACAAUCAUUUUUAGAUGUUUAGCAAUAUAGACUAAGAUUAGGAAUACCAAUCUGUAUGCCGAUCUCCAAUGAGCGAGCUCGUCACAAUAUGAAACCUGCAAAAAUAGAAAUCAGGUGAAGAACUUCAGGCGUGGUGGCCUAGAAGACUACUCUGACAGUCAAGUUAGUAUUUAUUUAAAAGUUUAUGAAAUGUGUUUAAUGGGUGCAAAUUGUCUUCCUUCACUGAAAUCUUUCUUGUGAUAUUUAUAGCGUUGAAAGCUUUGGAGUUUAUCUCUUGAUAGAUAAUGCAUAGUGGUGCUUCGAUGAUGGAAAUAGUGGGUUCCUAUAUUCAAGGAGGAAGUGCUAAUCGUGAGUGUGACCAAAUAUGUUGCGGAGGUUCGGUUAUCCUGAUGUAAGAUUCGAAUAGACGAGCAUAUAUAGGCGAGCUAUUGCUCACCUUGAGACGACCUUUUUAUACCGAGUUGUAUCACAUAUCCCUACAAAAGCUCUAAGUUAACAAAUGGGAUGGUGCUUAACUAUUGGCGAUUUAUAUCAAUCGUUAGGAGUAUCAUUAUAGCGCUUACCAGCUGCCUUGUUUUUUUGUGUUUAAAUUUUAAAAAGAUAACAGUUACUGAGACCUUUCACUCCACACAUCCCUGGAAAGAAACUUUGUUGUUCUAUCGUUGCUUUAGCAUUUCUCCGGUGACCAAAGUUGACGGUGUUCCUCCUUGUUUUUCGAUGGUCUCAUUUCACCACAGUUGACCCUUAGGGAACUCCUGCACUUCGAUACUUUCAUCUUUGUUGCUUCGCUCUUAUUGAGUACCGUCAUAAGAUGAAGUCUAUGGCGCAAAGUAUGAAGGAAUUGAAAGCGUAGAAGAAUAAACAACCAGCUGCCUCUUUUUGAUUUGUGGAAUCUAAGGAUCGGUAUUCACCAAAGGAGAACUCAGAAAAAAUCUUGAAUACCCCAUCACCCAUUGCUGUCAUCCCUCUAUCCCCUGCUCCUGAGAGUCCCGAGGGCUCGAGAGAUAAAGUCAUUCCUAAGGCGGGUGGAGUUCGCCCUUCCAAAUGAGUGAAGCUGACAGAGUAUACCCGACCUCUAUAUGAGAUCACUCAAUUUCUUGAGGUGGUGGAAAAGAAGGAUGGAGAGAAAGCCUCAGUGAGGAAUCCUUCCAUCGCUUCUGACGUUAUGAGAAUCAAAUAAAUAAAAAAACUAUUUGAAGCGUCUUUCUUGCUUUGACCUACAAAAUAUUCUGGUUUUUUUAUUUAUUUAUUUUAUCAGACUUAACUCUAACUAAAAUAACAAGAGCUUUGCAGUUGCCCAACGACUCGGAUAUUCUUAAUGAGCUUACUGACAUUGAAAUUGCUGGUAGUGCCCACGGGCAUCUGGCUAUGGCUUCCUAAGCUAGCUUUGCUUUACGUCUUCAACUGUUAGAGUACCGAGACAAGGUGAAAAAGGACUAGCAAUCUGCCAAGGUGAAGUGGGAGGCGAAAGCUAAGGUCGAGUUUGAGAAGUUGAACGCCAACCACCUAGCAUCUCUAGAGACGGAGAAACAAAAUUAUUCAUCUCGGGAGUCUGUUUUUGAAUGCCAAAGUAGAGUCCUUGUCCUUCGAGCUGGAUGAGACAGAGGGGGCUCUAGAGAAAAGCCGACAAGAUACUCUGCAUCUUGAAGGCGAGCUUAUGAGCGAGAAGGUAGCUUAUGAGACGGCUCAUACUCUCCAUCUUCUCUCACUGAUGUUUUUCUUGUGAUAUUUAUAGCGUGAAAAACUUUGGAGUUUAUCGCCUGAUAGAUAGUGCAUAGUGGUGCUUUGAUGAUGGAGAGUGGGUUCUUAUAUUCAAGGAGGAAGUGCUAGUCGUGUGUGUGAUCAAAUAUGUUGCGGAUGUUCGACUAUCCUGAUGUAAAAUUUGGAUAGACGAGCAUAUAUGGGCGAGUUAUUGUUCGCCUCAGAGUGAUCUUUUUAUACCGAGUUGUAUCAGUUAGUAUUUUUAUCUGUCAAUCAAAUUAUCAUUCACGACA
Ricinus communis (castor bean) is the source of this 2169-nucleotide long non-coding RNA. RefSeq lists it as uncharacterized. NCBI's taxonomy places the organism in Eukaryota, Viridiplantae, Streptophyta, Magnoliopsida, Malpighiales, Euphorbiaceae. The transcript is spliced from 4 exons. The record is from RefSeq and is a predicted model, not a curated record.